RNAcentral lists this ribosomal RNA (253 nucleotides) under uncultured bacterium. RNAcentral's name for it is "partial 16S ribosomal RNA". It matches the Rfam family "Bacterial small subunit ribosomal RNA", at positions 524 to 776 of the family's 1533-position model. The record is from RNAcentral.
UACGAAGGGAGCUAGCGUUGUUCGGAAUCACUGGGCGUAAAGCGCACGUAGGCGGAUGUGUCAGUCAGGGGUGAAAUCCCGGAGCUCAACUUCGGAACUGCCUUUGAUACAGCACGUCUUGAGUCCGAUAGAGGUGGGUGGAAUUCCUAGUGUAGAGGUGAAAUUCGUAGAUAUUAGGAAGAACACCGGUGGCGAAGGCGGCUCUCUGGACCGAGACUGACGCUGAGGCGCGAAAGCGUGGGGAGCAAACAGG